RNAcentral lists this ribosomal RNA (494 nucleotides) under uncultured bacterium. RNAcentral's name for it is "partial 16S ribosomal RNA". It matches the Rfam family "Bacterial small subunit ribosomal RNA", at positions 28 to 505 of the family's 1533-position model. The record is from RNAcentral.
GAUGAACGCUGGCGGCGUGCCUAAUACAUGCAAGUCGAGCGAACAGACGAGGAGCUUGCUCCUCUGACGUUAGCGGCGGACGGGUGAGUAACACGUGGAUAACCUACCUAUAAGACUGGGAUAACUUCGGAAACCGGAGCUAAUACCGGAUAAUAUAUUGAACCGCAUGGUUCAAUAGUGAAAGACGGUUUUGCUGUCACUUAUAGAUGGAUCCGCGCCGCAUUAGCUAGUUGGUAAGGUAACGGCUUACCAAGGCGACGAUGCGUAGCCGACCUGAGAGGGUGAUCGGCCACACUGGAACUGAGACACGGUCCAGACUCCUACGGGAGGCAGCAGUAGGGAAUCUUCCGCAAUGGGCGAAAGCCUGACGGAGCAACGCCGCGUGAGUGAUGAAGGUCUUCGGAUCGUAAAACUCUGUUAUUAGGGAAGAACAAAUGUGUAAGUAACUAUGCACGUCUUGACGGUACCUAAUCAGAAAGCCACGGCUAACUACG